GCUGCGGGAGGGCACAGAGGACCCUGGAGUGGAUGUGGGCCGGGCAGCCCCUGCUCAGCCCUCUGCUGAGCGGCCCCACUGUGGUGCCUGUGGCCUCAUCUCCCCAGUGCCCACCUGGUGCUCAGGGGGGGUCUCCACACAGCCCACAGGUGCUACUCACACAAUGUCACUGGGCUCCAGCCUCGUGUCGGGCGGAGGGUUGAUGAGGACGUAGGAGAGGGUGUUCUGGUGGUCGUUCAUCUCGUCUGCAAAGGACACAGCCGGGCAGACGUCACCCCCCCAGCCCUGCCCCUCCCAGCUCUGCAGGGGCCCAGAGGUGUGGGGGCUCCAGGAUGAGCUGAGUCUUUCCGGCCUUCCUGACCAUUCUGCUCCAGCACCUCAUCCUGGUGAGCCCAGCCAGGGCCCAUCCCUGACCGACACCUGUCCCAUCUCCACACAGGGCAGGGGACAGCCAGGAGGGCAGCUGGGAGCCAGCUCUGACCCGCACCCACCUCUGGUGCUAGGUGGCAUCGCAGCAAAGGGGUGGCCCUGAGCAGAGGCACUGAGCACACCUGCACACACCAGCGCACACCUGCCACGUACGUCAGCCUGCAGACACCGGGACGUGUCUGUUCACCUCACAUGCAUGCAUGCCUUCAUCUACACCUGCACACACCUGCAGAUUCACCUCUGUAUUCCACACACAUUUGUGUGUCUGCACAGAUCUUCAUAGCAACCCAUGCCUAUGGUAUCCACAGACCCCUGCACACUCACUCAUAUACACACCUGCAUGCCGUCCUCCACAUCCACACACCCCCACCCCCGCCUCCAGAGGCUGCUCAGCCCUGUCCCUCCCUCAGGGCCCUGCAGCUGCCGCUGUCCCCGGGCCUGGACAGGCCAUUCCCACUCGCUGUGCUCAGCCCUUUGCUUCAGACUGAAGUCCUGAGUGGCAUCAGCCCAGAGCACCCCCACCCCGCAGCUCAUCCCUCCGAGAACAUGGCCUCUGCCCCUCAUGGGAGACAGCCUGGCGUCCGGCUCAUGGGGUGGGCGUGGGCAUGUGUCCCACAGGGUGAGAACGGUCCUGGAGAGACAGCCCCCCCAUCAUCUCACAGUCUCCAUGGGGCCGGCAGGGUAGCCCUGCCAAGCACAGGGAGGGAGAGGCCACCAUCCCAGCAGUGGCCCUGGGUUCACUGGCUGGAAAGGGUCUGUGGCCUCAGUUUAUCCAUCUGAUGGUGUCUACGGGAAGCUCCUGGAUUCCUGUUCCAGGACUCCAAGGACAGAGAACAAAGGUGACCCAGGACGGGGGACCCCAGGGAGCCUCCACCCUGGCUGCUGCCAUUCCCUCCUCUCUGCCCGUCCUCUCCCCUUGGGGUAGCCCUGCCCUGGUCCCUGAGAAGGGAAAAGUCGGGGAGGCUGCUGGCCAGCCAGGUGGGGGCCAUGCUGGUCCCUCUGCAGUGGGGGCUUUGGAGUUCCCACAGUGUGAGCACAGCUGCUGCCAGGGUGGCGGGGGCACAGGCUAGGACUUGGGGGCGACCAGGGCAGCUCCGGCCAGGAGACCAGCUCUGCUUCAGGCCUUUCGCACACGGCGGCAGGUCAUUUGGUGCCAGCUCCUGUGUCCACACCUGCGGGAUGGGACGGCCUGACACCUGCCCCUCACAGCUGUUUUGCUCUUUUCCCAAAACCCAUGGUGGGGUCUUCCCCAGGCCUUUGGAGGAGGCCCAGGGGCCUCAUGCUGAGGCUGUGCAGGGAGACACACCCUCCCCACCCUCGUGCCCACACACGCUUCUGGGGUGGCCGCAUGGCAGGUGGCACAGGGAGUGGGUGGUGAGGGCAGCUCUAGUAGGUUCUUGGGACCCUGCCCCCCUGCCUGACUGGCUUUGUGACGAGCACCCAGUGGGACACCGAGAACAAGGGGCCACCAGCUCAUUUCACUCCGGCAGGCACAGACUGGCCCCCAGGCCCCAGCUUCUCCCGCUGGGGUGCCCGGACCACACGCUUCUGAAGCCCCAGAGGCUUCCAGACCUCCUGGCUCUUGGCAUCCACGGUCACUCCCGCCUGAAUCCCCCACGCCAGGCCAGAGCUACCGCCACCCGAGCCUCAGUUUCCUUCUCUAUAAACUGGGGAUAACUAGUGCCUCCCCCCACGGCAGCUGUGAGGAAGGCGUGAAGAGGGGAUUUGUGCUCCGCUUGAAUCUAAACAUGGGGGUGCAGCUCCCCAGCCCCAGAACCCCGGCACCGUCACCCUCCCGGGCAUGUAGGCCGAGCCCAGGAAAUGCCUGCCGCGGGAGUCCUGUGAGCCCUCGCCCCCCAAGCCCGCUGUGGCCAUGCCUGCCCUGGAGCUGCAGUGGGAGCCGCAGGAAGCUUUGGCGGGUGAGGGGAGCGGGCGACGCAGGCAUCCCACUCAUGAAGGCCGCUAGCUGCAGGUCCGAGCACCACAGUGCCCGGCAGAGCGAGGGUCUUCCAUGAGCGCCAUCGUGGGGAAAAGCACAGAGCCGGGAGAGGCCGACGCUUUACUUCUGUGGCUGCCCCAGGCCUGGCCCUGCCUCCGGGUGCAAGGGCAUUGUGGCAAACAGGUCCCUCCCGAGCUAACACCCGUCCUGGCUCAGGAGGCCCUUCAAGCUCCUGGGUUACCCUGUAGGGAGGUGUGGCAGCGGGGGCAGGCUCUGAGCUCCCCUGAGGCUGCCAGGACCCCUGGGAGCACCCUGGCCCGGACUCUGCUGAGCACUGACGGGGCACAGCAUGUUCUUGGAGGAAACGGGGUGUGGAGCGGCUCUGCUCGAGCCGAGCAGGAAGAAUCCCCUCGUGGAGCCCCAGCUGGGGGACGAAGGUCACCAUCCACCUGGCCUGGGCAGCCAUAAAGCCUGCCUACUCCUCGUGGCUUGGAGUCCCCACCCCUGCAUCCAGCCCAGGCUUCACCGAGCUCCUCCCGGGGCCCUGGCUCGGGACCCUCUGGGUGCUUCCUGAGAGCAGAGGAGCUUAGGGUCCUCAGACUGCUUGUGGGGCCGGCCACAGGGAAGGGCUGGCUGUAGGCCAGGGUGGCCCACCGGUCACAUCAGAGCUCAUCGUAAACAGCAAAGCAGGAGAAGCAGCACCAGGGUGAGCCCGAGAGCUGGGCAGUCGCCACUCUGCCUGGCGGCCAACAGCACCUUGACUAGCACAAGCCCCAGACCUCAGCCUCAGGCCCGUCCUCAACGCCCAGCCAGGGGACACUCUGUCGGCAUGCGAGGCCUUGCCCAACAGGGCCGCCUGGGCUGACACCUGGGACGUGCUCUCACAGCUCCUGUCCACCUGCCUGGCCGGGAUGGCGCAGCAAGGCUGCCGGCGGUGAAGGGUUGGCGAGCCCCGUUGUGCGGUGGUCGGCACCCGCCAGGGCAGAAUUACCUUGCAAAUAUCCCAGGUUUACCCGAUUCAUGACAUCACUGGCUGUUAAAUUUGCUACGUCCUCUACAGAACACACAGAAAGAGGCACAGACAGAAAGAGAGAGAGAGAGAAUAUCAGCAAGCGAGGUGCGGGCGGCCGGCACAGUGGGCGGGUGCAGGGGCAGCUGCACGGGAGGCCGGCCACCAGAAGCGAGUCGGUCACCAGAAAGGCAGUUGCUCCUUCCUUGCCAAGCU
Long non-coding RNA from Homo sapiens (human), 3593 nucleotides. RefSeq lists it as uncharacterized. The record is from RefSeq and is a predicted model, not a curated record. Lineage: Eukaryota; Metazoa; Chordata; Mammalia; Primates; Hominidae. The transcript is spliced from 3 exons.